AGAGGAAGUAAAAGUCGUAACAAGGUUUCCGUAGGUGAACCUGCGGAAGGAUCAUUAUUGAAUGAAUGUAGAGUUGGUUGUCGCUGGUUCUUCUGGGACAUGUGCACACCUUCUCUUUCAUCCACACACACCUGUGCACCUGUAGACGGAGGCUGGUUUCCUCGCAAGAGGUACGGUUUCCGUCUGUCAAAUAUACAAACUCAUAUAUAUAAUCUGAAUGUAAUUGAUGUAACACAUCUUUAAACUAAGUUUCAGCAACGGAUCUCUUGGCUCUCGCAUCGAUGAAGAACGCAGCGAAAUGCGAUAAGUAAUGUGAAUUGCAGAAUUCAGUGAAUCAUCGAAUCUUUGAACGCACCUUGCGCUCCUUGGUAUUCCUUGGAGCAUGCCUGUUUGAGUAUCAUGAAAUUAUCAAAACAAAAUCUUUUUGUUCAUUCAAUUGGUUUUGGUUUGGACUUGGAGGUCUGCAGAUUCACGUCUGCUCCUCUUAAAAUCAUUAGCUGGAUCUCAGUGAGCUCGGUUCCACUCGGCGUGAUAAGUAUCACUCGCUGAGGACACUCGUAAAAAAGGUGGCCGGGAUUGCAGAUGAACC
Molecule: ribosomal RNA, 589 nt
Filed under: uncultured Ceratobasidiaceae
Lineage: Eukaryota; Fungi; Basidiomycota; Agaricomycetes; Cantharellales; Ceratobasidiaceae
Description: eukaryotic LSU rRNA
Rfam family: 5.8S ribosomal RNA (bases 247-400)
Source: RNAcentral